Molecule: ribosomal RNA, 497 nt
Filed under: uncultured bacterium
Lineage: Bacteria
Description: partial 16S ribosomal RNA
Rfam family: Bacterial small subunit ribosomal RNA
Source: RNAcentral
GAUGAACGCUGGCGGCGUGCCUAAUACAUGCAAGUCGAGCGAACAGACGAGGAGCUUGCUCCUCUGACGUUAGCGGCGGACGGGUGAGUAACACGUGGAUAACCUACCUAUAAGACUGGGAUCACUUCGGGAAACCGGAGCUAAUACCGGAUAAUAUAUUGAACCGCAUGGUUCAAUAGUGAAAGCCGGAUUUGCUGUCCCUUAUAGAUGGAUCCGCGCCGCAUUAGCUAGUUGGUAAGGUAACGGCUUACCAAGGCAACGAUGCGUAGCCGACCUGAGAGGGUGAUCGGCCACACUGGAACUGAGACACGGUCCAGACUCCUACGGGAGGCAGCAGUAGGGAAUCUUCCGCAAUGGGCGAAAGCUUGACGGAGCAACGCCGCGUGAGUGAUGAAGGUCUUCGGAUCGUAAAACUCUGUUAUUGGGGAAGAACAAAUGUGUAAGUAACUAUGCACGUCUUGACGGUACCUAAUCAGAAAGCCACGGCUAACUACGUG